GCCCCCCUCCUCUCUUUCUCGAGCCCUCUCACUCACCCUAACCGCUUCCCUCCUCGCCUCUCUCCCCGUCGCCGUCAUCGACUUUCCAUCCGCGGCUCCAGAAAUCACCGGCUGCCGACUGGCCUCUCGAGCUUCUUUGAAGCAAAAGAGGUUUGCGAGGCUAGAUAUACUGGUGGCGGUACUAAGUUUUGGGGUUUCGGCGACGCCGUGACGGCCGCGAGGGAUGUUGUGGUGAAGGAGAGAGAGGCGUAUGGGUACCGUGAGACCUCUCUUUCUCCUUUGCCUUUUUUUUCUUUUCUAUCGCCUCUGUCUCGCCGGAGUAAGAGCGCGGAGCAGAACGUCGAGCGCAGCGAGGCGAAGCGGGAGAGAGGCAAUGUCUACUUCGCCCGAUGCAAAUUCAGUCGACGCCCUUCGCUCCCGGAUCCAUUCUCUCCAGGACGACAAUCUAGCGCGCGCCCCAUUGGAAACGCUUCUUCCUCCUUUCUUUUCUAUUUAAAAUUCGAUUGCGAUUUCCUUGAAGCUGUAACUCGAUCGAGCGGUUCGUACCCGCACGUGUGUGUGGGAGUUUCGAUUGCCUGUACGAGCUGCCGCGUGCUAACUCUGUCGGUUUCGCGACUUGGCCCCCAUUGCAUUUCAGGAGCUGGAGAAGCAGAACGCCGACCUUUCUUCUCGACUCUCUGGAUGUUGCUGUCAAAAGAUGGAAGACAAGAUUGGUUGUGUCGUAGACGGAGGCGGAGUGGUUGAUGGGAAUGGCAAAUCAAUGAAGCUGGACAAGAAGACUGGGAAGAAAAAAGCCAUAUUUUAGUGAAUGUUGUGAUACCUCCUGCUGCAAAUUUCAAAACAGGAAUUCUCGAACACCAUCCAAGGCGAUAUGUUGCUCUAAGAUUGAUGUAUUUUGGACAAAGGUUUUAUGGUUUUGCCUCUGAAGCACAAUUGGAUCCAACUGUCGAGUCUGAAAUUUUUAAAGCUCUUGAGAAGACUAAGCUUUUAGUUGGUGACAAGAAAAAGUCACAGUACUCAAGAUGUGGCAGAACAGACAAAGGAGUUUCAUCUGUUGGACAAGUCAUUUCCCUGUUUGUACGAUCAAACCUGUGACCUAAGAACACAGAUGAUGCAAACAAUUGGGGACUUUCUAUAGAUAGAGAUGGUUUAGCUGUAUGAGCAGGGAGUACAAAUAUUUCUUUUGGAGAGAUAAUUUGGAUAUUAGGGCAAUGGAGAGUGCAGGCCAAAAGUUUGUGGGGAUCAUGAUUUCAGAAAUUUUUGUAAGAUGGAUGCAUUUAAUGUCCACAACUACAAGCGUCAUAUAACAUCCUUUGAACUCUCUUCUUGUGAUAAGAGGUUGGUCCUGGUAGAUGUUUUUUUGAGAUCUUUAUAAGUUAAGAAAAGAUGCAAAGAUGCAUCUAUAUUUUUUGUUGGUAUGACGAAAGAGAAAUCAAAAGGCAAAAAAAGGGCCUUUUCAUUUUGGCCAGUUUCUCUCAUGUACAAGUUAUUAUAUUAAUAAGACCAAUCUAGUUUGCAGUGUCUUUUCUGAUUUUAAUGAACU
Long non-coding RNA from Eucalyptus grandis, 1543 nucleotides. RefSeq lists it as uncharacterized. The record is from RefSeq and is a predicted model, not a curated record. The transcript has 8 exons. Lineage: Eukaryota; Viridiplantae; Streptophyta; Magnoliopsida; Myrtales; Myrtaceae.